GCAUUCGUGGUGUAACGGUAGCACACACGGCGCGUAAACGAGAGAGAGUCCCAGGUUCGAAUCCCGGCGAGGGCA
RNAcentral lists this transfer RNA (75 nucleotides) under Stegodyphus mimosarum. It matches the Rfam family "tRNA". From Rfam's summary of the family: Transfer RNA (tRNA) molecules are approximately 80 nucleotides in length. Their secondary structure includes four short double-helical elements and three loops (D, anti-codon, and T loops). The record is from Rfam by way of RNAcentral. Lineage: Eukaryota; Metazoa; Arthropoda; Arachnida; Araneae; Eresidae.